UAGAGCGUAAUUUUCAAACAG
Molecule: non-coding RNA, 21 nt
Filed under: Caenorhabditis elegans
Lineage: Eukaryota; Metazoa; Nematoda; Chromadorea; Rhabditida; Rhabditidae
Source: RNAcentral